RNAcentral lists this ribosomal RNA (224 nucleotides) under Dermacentor silvarum. RNAcentral describes it as "partial large subunit ribosomal RNA". The record is from RNAcentral. Lineage: Eukaryota; Metazoa; Arthropoda; Arachnida; Ixodida; Ixodidae.
GGAUUACAGGGAAAGUUUUUUUAAUUUAAUAAUUGAAGUUAUUUUAAUUUGUGAAGAAACAAUUAUAUAAAUUAAAGACAAGAAGACCCUAAGAAUUUAAGAAUUUUUAUUAAUAUAUUAUAUGUAUAUAUAUAUAAAUAAAAUUCUUAGUUGGGGCAACUAAAAAAUAUAUUAAACUUUUUUUUUAAAAAAAUGACCCAUUAUUAAUGAUAAUAUGAAAAAAA